GCAUUAAGCACUCCGCCUGGGGAGUACGACCGCAAGGUUGAAACUCAAAGGAAUUGACGGGGGCCCGCACAAGCGGUGGAGCAUGUGGUUUAAUUCGAAGCAACGCGAAGAACCUUACCAGGUCUUGACAUCCUUUGACCACUCUAGAGAUAGAGCUUCCCCUUCGGGGGCAAAGUGACAGGUGGUGCAUGGUUGUCGUCAGCUCGUGUCGUGAGAUGUUGGGUUAAGUCCCGCAACGAGCGCAACCCUUAUUGUUAGUUGCCAUCAUUCAGUUGGGCACUCUAGCAAGACUGCCGGUGACAAACCGGAGGAAGGUGGGGAUGACGUCAAAUCAUCAUGCCCCUUAUGACCUGGGCUACACACGUGCU
This 368-nucleotide ribosomal RNA is filed under the name Enterococcus faecium. RNAcentral describes it as "bacterial SSU rRNA". It matches the Rfam family "Bacterial small subunit ribosomal RNA", at positions 857 to 1226 of the family's 1533-position model. The record is from RNAcentral. Lineage: Bacteria; Bacillati; Bacillota; Bacilli; Lactobacillales; Enterococcaceae.